AACGAACGCUGGCGGCAUGCCUAACACAUGCAAGUCGAACGAGACCUUCGGGUCUAGUGGCGCACGGGUGCGUAACGCGUGGGAACCUGCCCUUAGGUUCGGAAUAACUCCCCGAAAGGGGUGCUAAUACCGGAUAAUGUCUUCGGACCAAAGAUUUAUCGCCUUUGGAUGGGCCCGCGUUGGAUUAGCUAGUUGGUAGGGUAAAAGCCUACCAAGGCGACGAUCCAUAGCUGGUCUGAGAGGAUGAUCAGCCACACUGGGACUGGGACACGGCGCAGACUCCUGAGGAGGGACGCAGGGGGGAAUAGUGAACAUCGGGAGAAAGCCUAAUCCAGAAGGGCGGGGGAAGUGAAGAAGGCCUUAGGGUUGAAAAGCUCUUUAACCCGGGAUGAUAAGAACAGAACCGGGGAAAAAAGCACCGGAAAACCCAGU
RNAcentral lists this ribosomal RNA (432 nucleotides) under uncultured bacterium. Its description in RNAcentral is "partial 16S ribosomal RNA". It matches the Rfam family "Bacterial small subunit ribosomal RNA", at positions 29 to 506 of the family's 1533-position model. The record is from RNAcentral.